GGGUUGUGAGGUUAAGCGACUAAGCGUACACGGUGGAUGCCCUGGCAGUCAGAGGCGAUGAAGGACGUGCUAAUCUGCGAAAAGCGUCGGUAAGGUGAUAUGAACCGUUACAGCCGGCGAUGUCCGAAUGGGGAAACCCAGUGCAAUUCGUUGCACUAUCGUUAACUGAAUACAUAGGUUAACGAGGCGAACCGGGGGAACUGAAACAUCUAAGUACCCCGAGGAAAAGAAAUCAACCGAGAUUCCCCCAGUAGCGGCGAGCGAACGGGGAGCAGCCCAGAGUCUGAAUCAGCUUGUGUGUUAGUGGAACGGUCUGGAAAGUCCGACGGUACAGGGUGAUAGUCCCGUACACCAAAAUGCACAGGCUGUGAACUCGAAGAGUAGGGCGGGACACGUGGUAUCCUGUCUGAAUAUGGGGGGACCAUCCUCCAAGGCUAAAUACUCCUGACUGACCGAUAGUGAACCAGUACCGUGAGGGAAAGGCGAAAAGAACCCCGGCGAGGGGAGUGAAAAAGAACCUGAAACCGUGUACGUACAAGCAGUGGGAGCACCUUCGGGUGUGACUGCGUACCUUUUGUAUAAUGGGUCAGCGACUUAUAUUCUGUAGCAAGGUUAACCGUAUAGGGGAGCCGCAGGGAAACCGAGUCUUAACUGGGCGUUAAGUUGCAGGGUAUAGACCCGAAACCCGGUGAUCUAGCCAUGGGCAGGUUGAAGGUUGGGUAACACUAACUGGAGGACCGAACCGACUAAUGUUGAAAAAUUAGCGGAUGACUUGUGGCUGGGGGUGAAAGGCCAAUCAAACCGGGAGAUAGCUGGUUCUCCCCGAAAGCUAUUUAGGUAGCGCCUCGUGAAUUCAUCUUCGGGGGUAGAGCACUGUUUCGGCUAGGGGGUCAUCCCGACUUACCAACCCGAUGCAAACUACGAAUACCGAAGAAUGUUAUCACGGGAGACACACGGCGGGUGCUAACGUCCGUCGUGAAGAGGGAAACAACCCAGACCGCCAGCUAAGGUCCCAAAGUCAUGGUUAAGUGGGAAACGAUGUGGGAAGGCACAGACAGCCAGGAUGUUGGCUUAGAAGCAGCCAUCAUUUAAAGAAAGCGUAAUAGCUCACUGGUCGAGUCGGCCUGCGCGGAAGAUGUAACGGGGCUAAACCAUGCACCGAAGCUGCGGCAGCGACACUAUGUGUUGUUGGGUAGGGGAGCGUUCUGUAAGCCUGCGAAGGUGCUGUGAGGGUGCUGGAGGUAUCAGAAGUGCGAAUGCUGACAUAAGUAACGAUAAAGCGGGUGAAAAGCCCGCUCGCCGGAAGACCAAGGGUUCCUGUCCAACGUUAAUCGGGGCAGGGUGAGUCGACCCCUAAGGCGAGGCCGAAAGGCGUAGUCGAUGGGAAACAGGUUAAUAUUCCUGUACUUGGUGUUACUGCGAAGGGGGGACGGAGAAGGCUAUGUUAGCCGGGCGACGGUUGUCCCGGUUUAAGCAUGUAGGCUGGUUAUCCAGGCAAAUCCGGAUAAUCAAGGCUGAGGUGUGAUGACGAGGCACUACGGUGCUGAAGUAACAAAUGCCCUGCUUCCAGGAAAAGCCUCUAAGCAUCAGGUAACAUCAAAUCGUACCCCAAACCGACACAGGUGGUCAGGUAGAGAAUACCAAGGCGCUUGAGAGAACUCGGGUGAAGGAACUAGGCAAAAUGGUGCCGUAACUUCGGGAGAAGGCACGCUGGUGUGUAGGUGAAGUCCCUGCGGAUGGAGCUGAGACCAGUCGAAGAUACCAGCUGGCUGCAACUGUUUAUUAAAAACACAGCACUGUGCAAACACGAAAGUGGACGUAUACGGUGUGACGCCUGCCCGGUGCCGGAAGGUUAAUUGAUGGGGUUAUCCGUAAGGAGAAGCUCUUGAUCGAAGCCCCGGUAAACGGCGGCCGUAACUAUAACGGUCCUAAGGUAGCGAAAUUCCUUGUCGGGUAAGUUCCGACCUGCACGAAUGGCGUAAUGAUGGCCAGGCUGUCUCCACCCGAGACUCAGUGAAAUUGAACUCGCUGUGAAGAUGCAGUGUACCCGCGGCAAGACGGAAAGACCCCGUGAACCUUUACUAUAGCUUGACACUGAACAUUGAGCCUUGAUGUGUAGGAUAGGUGGGAGGCUUUGAAGCGUGGACGCCAGUCUGCGUGGAGCCAACCUUGAAAUACCACCCUUUAAUGUUUGAUGUUCUAACGUUGGCCCCUUACCGGGGUUGCGGACAGUGUCUGGUGGGUAGUUUGACUGGGGCGGUCUCCUCCCAAAGCGUAACGGAGGAGCACGAAGGUUAGCUAAUCCUGGUCGGACAUCAGGAGGUUAGUGCAAUGGCAUAAGCUAGCUUGACUGCGAGCGUGACGGCGCGAGCAGGUGCGAAAGCAGGUCAUAGUGAUCCGGUGGUUCUGAAUGGAAGGGCCAUCGCUCAACGGAUAAAAGGUACUCCGGGGAUAACAGGCUGAUACCGCCCAAGAGUUCAUAUCGACGGCGGUGUUUGGCACCUCGAUGUCGGCUCAUCACAUCCUGGGGCUGAAGUAGGUCCCAAGGGUAUGGCUGUUCGCCAUUUAAAGUGGUACGCGAGCUGGGUUUAGAACGUCGUGAGACAGUUCGGUCCCUAUCUGCCGUGGGCGCUGGAGAAUUGAGGGGGGCUGCUCCUAGUACGAGAGGACCGGAGUGGACGCAUCACUGGUGUUCGGGUUGUCAUGCCAAUGGCACUGCCCGGUAGCUAAAUGCGGAAGAGAUAAGUGCUGAAAGCAUCUAAGCACGAAACUUGCCCCGAGAUGAGUUCUCCCUGAGACUUUAAGUCUCCUGAAGGAACGUUAAAGACGAUGACGUUGAUAGGCCGGGUGUGUAAGCGCAGCGAUGCGUUGAGCUAACCGGUACUAAUGAACCGUGAGGCUUAACCUUACAACGCCGAAG
RNAcentral lists this ribosomal RNA (2920 nucleotides) under Klebsiella pneumoniae. RNAcentral describes it as "bacterial LSU rRNA". It matches the Rfam family "Bacterial large subunit ribosomal RNA". The record is from RNAcentral. Lineage: Bacteria; Pseudomonadati; Pseudomonadota; Gammaproteobacteria; Enterobacterales; Enterobacteriaceae.